AAACACGAUGCGGGAGAGCCGGGCGAACACUGCCCGGCACCGAAGGAGCAAGCCUCCCCGCCAAUCUCUCAGGUCUACGUACCGCAUCGAACUG
RNAcentral lists this non-coding RNA (94 nucleotides) under Leifsonia sp. RNAcentral describes it as "Glycine sequence". It matches the Rfam family "Glycine riboswitch aptamer". Rfam says of the family: This family represents the bacterial glycine riboswitch. The record is from RNAcentral. Lineage: Bacteria; Bacillati; Actinomycetota; Actinomycetes; Micrococcales; Microbacteriaceae.